AGAGUUUGAUCAUGGCUCAGAUUGAACGCUGGCGGCAUUCCUUACACAUGCAAGUCGAACGGUAACAGGUCUUCGGACGCUGACGAGUGGCGAACGGGUGAGUAAUACAUCGGAACGUGCCCAGUCGUGGGGGAUAACUACUCGAAAGAGUAGCUAAUACCGCAUACGAUCUGAGGAUGAAAGCGGGGGACCUUCGGGCCUCGCGCGAUUGGAGCGGCCGAUGGCAGAUUAGGUAGUUGGUGGGAUAAAAGCUUACCAAGCCGACGAUCUGUAGCUGGUCUGAGAGGACGACCAGCCACACUGGGACUGAGACACGGCCCAGACUCCUACAGGAGGCAGCAGUGGGGAAUUUUGGACAAUGGGCGAAAGCCUGAUCCAGCAAUGCCGCGUGCAGGAUGAAGGCCUUCGGGUCGUAAACUGCUUUUGUACGGAACGAAAAAGCUUCUCCUAAUACGAGAGGCCCAUGGCGGUACCGUAAGAAUAAGCACCGGCUAACUACGUGCCAGCAGCCGCGGUAAUACGUAGGGUGCGAGCGUUAAUCGGAAUUACUGGGCGUAAAGCGUGCGCAGGCGGUUAUGUAAGACAGAUGUGAAAUCCCCGGGCUCAACCUGGGAACUGCAUUUGUGACUGCAUGGCUAGAGUACGGUAGAGGGGGAUGGAAUUCCGCGUGUAGCAGUGAAAUGCGUAGAUAUGCGGAGGAACACCGAUGGCGAAGGCAAUCCCCUGGACCUGUACUGACGCUCAUGCACGAAAGCGUGGGGAGCAAACAGGAUUAGAUACCCUGGUAGUCC
Molecule: ribosomal RNA, 791 nt
Filed under: uncultured bacterium
Lineage: Bacteria
Description: bacterial SSU rRNA
Rfam family: Bacterial small subunit ribosomal RNA
Source: RNAcentral